Molecule: ribosomal RNA, 497 nt
Filed under: uncultured bacterium
Lineage: Bacteria
Description: partial 16S ribosomal RNA
Rfam family: Bacterial small subunit ribosomal RNA
Source: RNAcentral
GAUGAACGCUGGCGGCGUGCCUAAUACAUGCAAGUCGAGCGAACAGAUGAGGAGCUUGCUCCUCUGACGUUAGCGGCGGACGGGUGAGUAACACGUGGAUAACCUACCUAUAAGACUGGGAUAACUUCGGGAAACCGGAGCUAAUACCGGAUAAUAUAUUGAACCGCAUGGUUCAAUAGUGAAAGACGGUUUUGCUGUCACUUAUAGAUGGAUCCGCGCCGCAUUAGCUAGUUGGUAAGGUAACGGCUUACCAAGGCAACGAUGCGUAGCCGACCUGAGAGGGUGAUCGGCCACACUGGAACUGAGACACGGUCCAGACUCCUACGGGAGGCAGCAGUAGGGAAUCUUCCGCAAUGGGCGAAAGCCUGACGGAGCAACGCCGCGUGAGUGAUGAAGGUCUUCGGAUCGUAAAACUCUGUUAUUAGGGAAGAACAAAUGUGUAAGUAACUAUGCACGUCUUGACGGUACCUAAUCAGAAAGCCACGGCUAACUGCGUG